Long non-coding RNA from Ananas comosus (pineapple), 197 nucleotides. RefSeq lists it as uncharacterized. The record is from RefSeq and is a predicted model, not a curated record. NCBI's taxonomy places the organism in Eukaryota, Viridiplantae, Streptophyta, Magnoliopsida, Poales, Bromeliaceae. The transcript has 3 exons.
UUAUUGUAGGGUUUCAGCAAAAUGAUCGUUUGGGCCGACUGAAAGAGUUUGAUCAGACUGAUAUUGAUCUUCGGUUCAGACAACUAGGCACUUGAGCAGACUGAAAGAAUUCGAUCAGAUUAACAUUGAUCUUUUAGGUUACAAUAGUAUGGAUCAAAUAGAAUCGGCCAAGAAGAACAGAUUAAAGAGAAAAUUAA